RNAcentral lists this unclassified non-coding RNA (386 nucleotides) under fungal sp. Its description in RNAcentral is "partial internal transcribed spacer region". The stretch from base 1 to 46 matches the Rfam family "Eukaryotic small subunit ribosomal RNA", at positions 1786 to 1831 of the family's 1831-position model. Lineage: Eukaryota; Fungi. The record is from RNAcentral.
AAGUCAUAACAAGGUUUCCGUAGGUGAACCUGCGGAAGGAUCAUUAACACGUAUCCACGUAUCAACCAAUGAGAACUCGUUUUCCCGUCUCCCUGUGCAAAGAAUGAAUUGGAACCAGUUUGAGGGAGUGAUGGGACCGUAUCGGUCGGCCUUCCUGGUAUACUUAUGUGCAUAGAAAUAUGUGCAUAGACAAUUGGAUUUUUGCAGAGGCUAUUUCUUAUCGCUUUGAUCUCCAUCAUGAUCGUGGCGGUAGGGAAACUUUCACUACAUUUACCUUUUUUGCUAGUUGACUUUUUAUAUGUGUUGUCUUGCGAAAGCAUGGUGGCACACGUUUAUUAAUUGAACGUUAAAAAAUACAACUCUUAGCAAUGGAUAUCUUGGUUCUC